RNAcentral lists this ribosomal RNA (859 nucleotides) under uncultured bacterium. Its description in RNAcentral is "bacterial SSU rRNA". It matches the Rfam family "Bacterial small subunit ribosomal RNA", at positions 540 to 1397 of the family's 1533-position model. The record is from RNAcentral.
GUUAUCCGGAUUUACUGGGUGUAAAGGGCGUGUAGGCGGUCUUGCAAGUCGGAAGUGAAAUUCCCGGGCUUAACCCGGGCGCUGCUCCCGAAACUGCGAGACUUGAGUACUGCAGAGGGGGGUGGAAUUCCACGUGUAGCAGUGAAAUGCGUAGAGAUGUGGAGGAACACCGAUGGCGAAGGCAGCCCCCUGGGCCGAUACUGACGCUCAUGCACGAAAGCGUGGGUAGCAAACAGGAUUAGAUACCCUGGUAGUCCACGCCCUAAACGAUGUCAACUAGGUGUUGGGAGGGUAAAACCUUUUAGUACCGGAGCUAACGCGUGAAGUUGACCGCCUGGGGAGUACGGCCGCAAGGUUAAAACUCAAAGGAAUUGACGGGGACCCGCACAAGCGGUGGAUGAUGUGGAUUAAUUCGAUGCAACGCGAAAAACCUUACCUACCCUUGACAUGUCCAGAAGCUCUUAGAGAUUUGAGUGUGCCCGAAAGGGAGCUGGAACACAGGUGCUGCAUGGCUGUCGUCAGCUCGUGUCGUGAGAUGUUGGGUUAAGUCCCGCAACGAGCGCAACCCUUGUCGUUAAUUGCCAUCAUUUAGUUGGGCACUUUAACGAGACUGCCGGUGACAAACCGGAGGAAGGUGGGGAUGACGUCAAGUCCUCAUGGCCCUUAUGGGUAGGGCUUCACACGUCAUACAAUGGUCGGUACAGAGGGUUGCCAGGCCGCGAGGUGGAGCCAAUCCCAGAAAGCCGAUCGUAGUCCGGAUUGCAGGCUGCAACUCGCCUGCAUGAAGUCGGAAUCGCUAGUAAUCGCGGACCAGCAUGUCGCGGUGAAUACGUUCCCGGGUCUUGCACACACCGCCCGU